AGCGGGCGUUGCUUCUUUUUCCUUCGCUGGAACAUCUUCUUCUGCUGUUGGAUUCUCCACCUCGGUCGGUUUUGGUUCUUCCUCCACAGGUGCGUUUACUUCCUCCGUUGACUUGUCAACUGGCGUUGUUUGAUCCACACUUUGUUCUAGUGUACUCGCUGCUGGUGCUUGCAUAAGAUCGGCUGCUUUCUCGGCCUCGUCUGGCGUUGCUUCCUCGACUGGAUUCUCAUCAGCUUGUCUUGGCCCUACGGCCGGCGAUAUUUC
RNAcentral lists this long non-coding RNA (264 nucleotides) under Selaginella moellendorffii. RNAcentral describes it as "long non-coding RNA (SMOE_LNC001121)". The record is from RNAcentral. Lineage: Eukaryota; Viridiplantae; Streptophyta; Lycopodiopsida; Selaginellales; Selaginellaceae.